AUGUCUGUCAUGACAUCCAUGUCUGUCAUGUGUCCAUGUCUGUCAUGGUGUCCAUGUGUGUCAUGAUCACCUUGUCUGUCAUGAUGUCCAUAUCUGUCAUGACGUCCAUGUCUGUUAUGAUGUCCAUGUCUGUCAUGAUGUCUAUGUCUGUCAUGAUGUCCAUGUCUGUCAUGAUGUCCAUGUGUGUCAUGAUCACCUUGUCUGUCAUGAUGUCUAUGUCUGUCAUGAUGUCCAUGUCUGUCAUGAUGUCCUUUAAUCCUUAUCCGUGGUUAACAACUCAUGACACGUAGCACAAGUAGGAUGUGACUGUUGUCAAAAUUGAACUCUACAAUCAACAGGCAUACUGGUCCUUGCGAUAACUUAUGUAAGUAACGAUGACAAUUAUCAAUCUUCCAGCACCAUCAGGGAGACAGUUCUAUCUGGUUUCCAAAUGGGUGGACAAGCUGUAUACAAUGAGGCUUGUGCGUGCCGAUCUUGGUUUUUUGGCUGAUGUAUCCUUGUUAUUAGAUGAUAGCACUUUGCUGACAUAAAUUGUGUGGGAAGUGUAUGCCUGUUGAUAGUAGACUAGCACCGCUAUGUACUUUGCUAUGUACAAACAAGGCAGAGUCUUGUUAGCUUAUUGUACAGACAACUGAAACCCAGCCAUGACAGAUAUCCUGACAAAACCUUGGGUGAUGCUGAUUGGGCAACAGCCCAGCUCUGCUACAGCACUGAUUGGUUAAGUCUCCAUGUUGUAAUCCACUGGUUGUUUCCAUUCACUGUAUGGAGAGUAUUUUAUAGUAAUCGUCUCAGAAGAUGAAACACCAAGAGUUUUUGACUGUAUUAUGUUCCUGGAAACAACUAAAAAGCCAAAUGAUGUUUAUGCACGAUGUUAAAUGUUACGUUCCUAGUCAGCUGAAAAAUGACAAUCAGACAUUUUAUCGUCUAGAUGUUGUACGUCAAUCAACACGUGUUUAUGACAUUCAGGCAGUAAUCAUAAAAAGAAUAUAUAUUUUCAGAACCAAUGAAGUAUUAUCAACUGUUACCAUGGUUACCAUGGUACAUCAUGUUGAUGUAUUUGUUCCACAUACUGCUCAGGACAAGGAGUGGCAUUGUGUGUGUUCUCUGGUGCCAAAUGCCUUGUACACACAUGGCUUUCACUGGAUUAACCAUAACCUUGUUUAUCAGUGGAUCGCUUUAGGUUCGAGAUUGUAGAAACUGCCUGUCUUUGUGAAUGAAGUGUAUAUUGCAAAUUCCUGUCUAUAUUUUACUGUAAAUUCAUUUCAUUAGGCAAGACAAUUGUUUUUCAUUGAUAGGUCUCUAAAUAUUGUUGUGUAUGAUUGAUACUUUUGGAAUCAACUUCAGGUUUGUCGUUACAUUUCAAGAGGUGAAUUUUAGAAAAGUAAUCUUAAUCAAACAUUUCCCCAUUUAGUUUAUUUUGAUUCAAACUGCUUUCCGCAUUGAGCAAAAAAAUCUGUGAAUUAAGCUGGUGUGACCUGUUCGUGAAAAGUAAGGGGAAUGGUGUCAAAGAAUCAAAUAGUGGUAUUUUUCAUUUUCAUUUACUAAGUGAAUAUGCCAAACACUUAUAGUAGAGGUCAGCUAGAUUGUAGACUGCAUAUUCAUAAGGAAUGCAUGACUGAACAUGCUCACCAGCUUAGGGAUGAGUAUUUUAUUGAUUUGACACUUUGCAUGAAAAAAGACUAAAAAUAUAUUUCAACAUUUCAUUUUCUGGUGUCCCCCACUGUGAUAUUGCUGGAAUACUGCUAAAUGUGGCAUAAAACUAAAUUCACCCAUUUCAAGACACCCAGCACACUGCACUUGUGGCAUCAGAUCCAUUUAACAGGGCCCAGAAUAUGGUGUUCCAAAGUUUCUUGGCACCGUUGUACUUUAUACCAUUUUUAUUUUUUAUUUUUCUGGCAAGCAGGGUUAUUGCAGAUUAACUGUAUCUUCAAGUUUUGUUAUGUCUUGAUAUAUGUUGUCCAUGUUGUUAUAUCGGAAGUAUACCCAGUUAGCGAUUAGAACUUUCUACUAUGGGAGAUAUAUCAGUAUAUGCUGGUUGAACCAUUGUGAUACUAGUUGUGUGGCUGUCAUUUAUUGUGGCCUAUUAUCUGUGAACAACCGCUCACCAAACUACCUGUCUCAUUGUAACAAUACUAAUCGUUGUUUUGUUGUCUGAAAAUAUUUAUUAGUUACAUGCAGUCAUUAUAUCAUCAGUAGACAUUGGUUUGGUUUAUUUGCCAACACCCCGCUGUGAGAAUCAUUGGGUUUCUGAUUCCAACACAUAUUUGGGACAGACCAUUUGAAAGUUUAAGGGGAUCUGGGAACGGUAUGGAUGCUAGAUAUUUUCUCAGCUACGUCUUUAAAACCAGAUAUUUUAUAAUGAAAAUUAAAAGUCUCUUUCUUUUUUUAAGAAACAGUUUUCAACAAUAGAUAUAUUGUGUAUUAUACAGUUAGAACCCAUUUUUUCAAGAAGUUACUGAGACGGUAAAGUCCCAGACCUAAACCCAGAAUAUCAAAUGGUUUGUCCCUAAUGGGACUUUGAACACUUAGGGUCCCCCUCCCUGAUAUUGCUGGAAUAUUGCUGAAAGCAGCGUAAAACUAAAUUCACUCACUCACUCAAUUUGAACACUUAGGGAAUACCAUUAAAUUUUAUCAAUAGUGCCAACCAGGCUGGUAACAAUUCCUUGCUAUUCCUUACUUGCAAGAUAAAUCAUCUUCCAUGAGAUGUGAUCUUCAUCAAAUGUUUGUGAGGUUAGUUGCAAAAAAUAUGUUUACCUGCAAUUUAGAAAAGGUUAUUGAACUUACUGUUAACAUAUCCUUUUAACUAUGAGAGAAUGGCAUUGGUACUUUUGUUCUAAAUCAAUAUCAACCUACUUCCCACCCCUUUCCCAAAUUCAUCCCUAAUAUUGGGCAAAUUUACACUGUACUUACAAGUUCUUUUGAAUAUUUUUUGUGUACUUCCAUUCAAUUUAGGUCUUGACUUUAGAGUAAGUGUACUUAUAUUUAGGUCUUGACUUUAGAGUAAGUGUACUUAUAUUUAGGUCUUACUGUUCAUGAAAUUUGUUGGGUGAUUGUUAUGUAUUUGUCAGGAUACAUCAUUCCAAAUUUGUACUGUUGAUGUUUUGUUUGUGAAGUGUUUUUAUUGUUGAAUGGAUCUCUUUAAGUUUUGUUAUUUACCUGUUUGUUAACACAACUUGUCAAUCAAAACCUUUUGCUUGUGGGAACCCCUUGUUCCUGCUUACAGAUAAUGUACAGGUGGAAACCACUGUUCAUGUUUACAGAUAAUGUUCUAGUUGAAACCCCUGUUCAUGUUUACAGAUAAUGUUCUAGUUGAAACCCCUGUUCAUGUUUACAGAUAAUGUUCUAGUUGAAACCCCUGUUCAUGUUUACAGAUAAUGUUCUAGUUGAAACCCCUGUUCAUGUUUACAGAUAAUGUUCUAGUUGAAACCCCUGUUCAUGUUUACAGAUAAUGUUCUUGUGGAAACCACUUUUCAUGUUUACAGAUAAUGUUCUAGUGGAAACCACUUGUUCAUGUUUACAGAUAAUGUUCUAGUGGAAACCCUGUUCAUGUUUACAGAUAAUGUUCUUGUGGAAACCACCUGUUCAUGUUUACAGAUAAUGUUCUAGUUGAAACCCCUCUUCAUGUUUACAGAUAAUGUUCUUGUGGAAACCACCUGUUCAUGUUUACAGAUAAUGUUCUAGUGGAAACCCUGUUCAUGUUUACAGAUAAUGUUCUAGUGGAAACCAUUGUUCAUGUUUACAGAUAAUGUUCUUGUGGAAACCACCUGUUCAUGUUUACAGAUAAUGUUCUAGUUGAAACCCCUGUUCAUGUUUACAGAUAAUGUUCUUGUGGAAACCACCUGUUCAUGUUUACAGAUAAUGUUCUAGUUGAAACCCCUGUUCAUGUUUACAGAUAAUGUUCUAGUGGAAACCACUUGUUAAUAUGUAUAGAUAACAUACAGGUACUAGUGAAAACACUCUGUUCAUGUUUAGAGUAUUUCUAUCAGUGUAUUAUGAAUGACAGUUGAGCAGAAUUUUCAGAACAAUUUGACCAUCUCAGAACAGAUUUUUUUUUUCAACAACAGCUGCAAAACCAUAUGUUGUAUUUAGUUAUAUCCAUGAGUCUGAAUAUUUUUUAGCAAAAGCGUCUUGCUGCAAUGUAAUCUUGUUAAAAGUGUCGCAGUUUAUUUUUCAAGAAUUUUUUGAGACAAUGUCUCUUUUUUUUCGAUAAGAUCCCAGACCCAGGCCCAGACCUGGACCUAACCCUUACCCUUACCCUUACCCUUACCCUUACCCUUACCCUUACCCUUACCCUUACCCUAACCCUAACCCUAACCCUAACCCUAACCCUAACCCUAACCCUAACCCUAACCCCAGACCCAGACCCAGACCCUGAACCAGAACCAGAUUAUGGAGUGUCUAAUCCCUUAGGGGCACUAUAUGUUGAAUUAAGUGUCCUCUUCCCAGUUCCAAAGAGCCAUUUAAAUACUGCAAACAUCAGGUUCCAUCACUGUGCAAAGAUUUCUUUGAGGAAUAAUCCAGGGUUGUAACGUUAUACAUUGUUUAUUGUUAACCUGUAUUAAAUACCUGCCACCCUAAAAUUUACUUACCAGUUUGUCAGGUGUCUUUUAGUAUUAUUUUUCUGGUUUAUUGUUUCAGAAAUUGUAUUCCUUCAUCCCUGAGUGCACAAUAUAGUUUUCUGUGUGUUUACACUUCACCAUUGAAACAUGUUGGACUACAACUUAUGUUAAACCAUUAUACAUAACCAUACAUUUUGAUAUUUAUUAUUUGACUUGUCUGUUCAUUCUGAUCAAUUUCAUGCUUACAAAUGACCAGAUUUACUGUAUAUAUGUUGAUUAAUUGCUCGUUUAUUACAGUGUAUUUAUGAGCUGUAUAUAUUUUCACAAAUCUUAAGACUCACUUUCUAUAAUAUCCUAAUCCGUCAGUAAUUAUUGGUAUAAUGUCAGCAACAUAGAUUUUGAUUUUGCUUCAAGGCAUAUGCUAUGACAUACUGGAGGUUAGGGCUGGCUAAAAUAAUCGAUAAUCAGGAGGAUUGUCGAUAGGAAACAUUAUUAAUGAUUAUCAAUAUGAAAAUUGUGUUAUCGAUAAUCUUGUACAUUUACUUUUUUGACAGAUAAAAGUAUUUAUCUUCUCACACAAUAUGCAAAUGCAGGACUUCAUUCAUGGUCUGGGUCCCGUUCCUCAAAGCGAUCGCUACAACUGUCGUAAGUCUAUGUUAAAGGAUCGUCUUAGCACUGAUCGCUUUGAGGAACUGGCCCUGAUCUCAGUUAUGUUCAGGAUACAGUUUUGUUAAUAAUCCAUGCAUAAACAUGUCAAAACUCACCAGUGAUGUGGAAUAUAUUCAUUUAUUUCAGACAGUUUUGACAUAUUUGCUAAAAGUUACGUAUCCGAUAUCUAUCGAUAAUCAGUAUUUUGUUAGCAAUUAUUGAUCUCUAUGAUUUACAUUGAUAGCCAGCCCAACUUAAGGUACAAUAGGAAUAUACAAGAGGCUGUUGGAGGGGUCAUGUAGUUGAAGGCAGGUGUGUUAGGGAGUGAAUAUUGUUACACCUGUUGUUAGAUCAUUACACUUGCACUUUACUUAAGUGUACAAACUGCAUGAAGGUUUGGCUGAUCACCUGUUUGGAAAAUAUUCGGGACAGCCAGCUGCCCAGUGUAGCUUUAAGUCACAAUGGUUUAUAGAGAGCAGCACCGAUUUAAGGCUACAGCAGCUAUCAACAGUUUGGGCAUGGUUGUGAAUUCUGACCCCAAUGAUACAGUUCAAGUUCUUCACAUAUUACAGCAUGUUAUAUCUUUGCAUUUGUAGGUUAUAGUUGGUUAUACAUUAUUUAAAAUGUUUUUCCUCUUCAAACAGACCACAGUCAAAAUGUCAUGCCCACUGUUGCCAUGUUUAGAUUAUUUAGUUGUGAUCACCAGAAUUCAAUUCCACUAUUUUCCUGCAUUUUAAUUAUAUCAAAUUUGUUUAGUUAACAGGGGUUCAUAGUGGUGACUUAGACAAUGAACCAUAAUUUACAUAACAGUUUAUAUCAACUGAUUACUGAGUAAUUAAAGUAAUUUUGAGUAAUUUUGCUAUAACAUAAAUAAGACAUGCACUUAAACCUUGAAACAAAGCAUAGCAAGAUUUAUAAAAAUGUUAAUUCUUAAUAAUGAAAACUCUUAAAUUUGGUUGUCUUUUUUAAAUUAAUCCAGUUAUCCUUAGACAUUUGGUGACUAACAUCACCAGUAAUUUUUAUAAUCAUUAAAGUUAUAUAUAUUUUGUUCAUUUACACCAAACUAAUGAUUUACACAUUUUCUAUUUAUUUACCAAUAAACAUAAUGCAUGACCAAUGUAUAUGAUUUGAUUCAAUAUAAGAUAUUAUUUAUUACACAUGUGCAAAGGAAGAGCAAAGCUUGUAGAUAUAGCCAGAUAGUUUAGCGAUCCCAGGUAAUGACUGUUACAUAAUCCAUAUGUAUUGAUGCCUAAUGUCAACAUCUGUUGAGUGUAUUGUAAGCUCUGUUCAAUCUUGCCCAAUUUUUGUUCUCAUCAAAGACAGCCAGUGCCUCGUCCCACAAAGCGAUCUUGGCGUUAAGGUGAUUGUAAGUACCGUACUUGAACAUAUUUUUGCGUCUUUGUUGCGCUAAGAUGGUUUUGCGGAACGGGGUACAGGUUUGGAACCCUUCGCUUACAGUGCAAUAUUUGUUAUUUGCGUUCCCGAAUGCCAAGAUAUUUUACGCCCGCUUUACUCACUUGCAUCAUGUCAUUGUUGAGACGACUAAGCGCCUUGGAAGUUUUGUCAUGACAGAGGUUGGGUAUAUUUUCAGGAAUAAAGUAUUUCUGAUAUAA
Molecule: long non-coding RNA, 6820 nt
Filed under: Haliotis rubra (blacklip abalone)
Lineage: Eukaryota; Metazoa; Mollusca; Gastropoda; Lepetellida; Haliotidae
Description: uncharacterized LOC124289815
Source: RNAcentral